UGCCCAGCUUGCUGGGUGGAUUAGUGGCGAACGGGUGAGUAACACGUGAGUAACCUGCCCCUGACUCUGGGAUAAGCGUUGGAAACGACGUCUAAUACUGGAUAUGACUGCCGGCCGCAUGGUCUGGUGGUGGAAAGAUUUUUUGGUUGGGGAUGGACUCGCGGCCUAUCAGCUUGUUGGUGAGGUAAUGGCUCACCAAGGCGACGACGGGUAGCCGGCCUGAGAGGGUGACCGGCCACACUGGGACUGAGACACGGCCCAGACUCCUACGGGAGGCAGCAGUGGGGAAUAUUGCACAAUGGGCGAAAGCCUGAUGCAGCAACGCCGCGUGAGGGAUGACGGCCUUCGGGUUGUAAACCUCUUUUAGUAGGGAAGAAGCGAAAGUGACGGUACCUGCAGAAAAAGCACCGGCUAACUACGUGCCAGCAGCCGCGGUAAUACGUAGGGUGCAAGCGUUGUCCGGAAUUAUUGGGCGUAAAGAGCUCGUAGGCGGUUUGUCGCGUCUGCUGUGAAAUCCCGAGGCUCAACCUCGGGCUUGCAGUGGGUACGGGCAGACUAGAGUGCGGUAGGGGAGAUUGGAAUUCCUGGUGUAGCGGUGGAAUGCGCAGAUAUCAGGAGGAACACCGAUGGCGAAGGCAGAUCUCUGGGCCGUAACUGACGCUGAGGAGCGAAAGCAUGGGGAGCGAACAGGAUUAGAUACCCUGGUAGUCCAUGCCGUAAACGUUGGGCGCUAGAUGUAGGGACCUUUCCACGGUUUCUGUGUCGUAGCUAACGCAUUAAGCGCCCCGCCUGGGGAGUACGGCCGCAAGGCUAAAACUCAAAGGAAUUGACGGGGGCCCGCACAAGCGGCGGAGCAUGCGGAUUAAUUCGAUGCAACGCGAAGAACCUUACCAAGGCUUGACAUACACCGGAAACGGCCAGAGAUGGUCGCCCCCUUGUGGUCGGUGUACAGGUGGUGCAUGGUUGUCGUCAGCUCGUGUCGUGAGAUGUUGGGUUAAGUCCCGCAACGAGCGCAACCCUCGUUCUAUGUUGCCAGCGCGUUAUGGCGGGGACUCAUAGGAGACUGCCGGGGUCAACUCGGAGGAAGGUGGGGAUGACGUCAAAUCAUCAUGCCCCUUAUGUCUUGGGCUUCACGCAUGCUACAAUGGCCGGUACAAAGGGCUGCGAUACCGUAAGGUGGAGCGAAUCCCAAAAAGCCGGUCUCAGUUCGGAUUGAGGUCUGCAACUCGACCUCAUGAAGUCGGAGUCGCUAGUAAUCGCAGAUCAGCAACGCUGCGGUGAAUACGUUCCCGGGCCUUGUACACACCGCCCGUCAAGUCAUGAAAGUCGG
RNAcentral lists this ribosomal RNA (1330 nucleotides) under Curtobacterium sp. 11.3 AW. RNAcentral describes it as "bacterial SSU rRNA". It matches the Rfam family "Bacterial small subunit ribosomal RNA", at positions 72 to 1414 of the family's 1533-position model. The record is from RNAcentral. Lineage: Bacteria; Bacillati; Actinomycetota; Actinomycetes; Micrococcales; Microbacteriaceae.